CCAGACUCCUACGGGAGGCAGCAGUGGGGGAUAUUGCACAAUGGGGGAAACCCUGAUGCAGCGACGCCGCGUGUGGGAAGACGGUCCUCUGGAUUGUAAACCACUGUCCCCAGGGACGAAGAUGACGGUACCAUAGGAGGAAGCCCCGGCUAACUACGUGCCAGCAGCCGCGGUAAUACGUAGGGGGCGAGCGUUGUCCGGAAUUACUGGGCGUAAAGAGAGCGUAGGCGGCACUACAAGUCUCAUGUGAAAUACCCGGGCUUAACUUGGGGGUUGCAUGGGAAACUGUAGAGCUUGAGUACAGGAGAGGCAAGCGGAAUUCCUAGUGUAGCGGUGAAAUGCGUAGAUAUUAGGAGGAACACCAGUGGCGAAGGCGGCCUGCUGGACGAUGACUGACGUUGAGGCUCGAAAGCGUGGGGAGCAAACAGGAUUAGAUACCCUCGUA
Molecule: ribosomal RNA, 445 nt
Filed under: uncultured bacterium
Lineage: Bacteria
Description: bacterial SSU rRNA
Rfam family: Bacterial small subunit ribosomal RNA
Source: RNAcentral